GAGGGCAUAGCUCAGUGGUAGAGUGUGUGCUUAGCAUGCGCAAGGUCCUGGAUUCAAUCCCUGGUACCUCCA
RNAcentral lists this transfer RNA (72 nucleotides) under Camelus bactrianus (Bactrian camel). It matches the Rfam family "tRNA". Rfam says of the family: Transfer RNA (tRNA) molecules are approximately 80 nucleotides in length. Their secondary structure includes four short double-helical elements and three loops (D, anti-codon, and T loops). Further hydrogen bonds mediate the characteristic L-shaped molecular structure. tRNAs have two regions of fundamental functional importance: the anti-codon, which is responsible for specific mRNA codon recognition, and the 3' end, to which the tRNAs corresponding amino acid is attached (by aminoacyl-tRNA synthetases). tRNAs cope with the degeneracy of the genetic code in two manners: having more than one tRNA (with a specific anti-codon) for a particular amino acid; and 'wobble' base-pairing, i.e. permitting non-standard base-pairing at the 3rd anti-codon position. The record is from Rfam by way of RNAcentral. Lineage: Eukaryota; Metazoa; Chordata; Mammalia; Artiodactyla; Camelidae. RNAcentral also lists the same sequence under 2 other names.